GGAGAGAUGACCGAGAGGCCGAAGGUGCACGAUUGGAAAUCGUGUGUGCUCCAAAAGAGUACCUAGGGUUCGAAUCCCUAUCUCUCCGCCA
This 91-nucleotide transfer RNA is filed under the name Eggerthella sinensis. RNAcentral's name for it is "tRNA-Ser". It matches the Rfam family "tRNA". Rfam says of the family: Transfer RNA (tRNA) molecules are approximately 80 nucleotides in length. RNAcentral also lists the same sequence under 7 other names. The record is from RNAcentral. Lineage: Bacteria; Bacillati; Actinomycetota; Coriobacteriia; Eggerthellales; Eggerthellaceae.